This 1380-nucleotide long non-coding RNA is filed under the name Coffea arabica (coffee). RNAcentral describes it as "long non-coding RNA (CARA_LNC007868)". Lineage: Eukaryota; Viridiplantae; Streptophyta; Magnoliopsida; Gentianales; Rubiaceae. The record is from RNAcentral.
AACAAAUUUAGUAUAGUCUAAAAUUUUAUUUUUUUUCUGCAGAUAGUUCACGUAUAUAAGGUGCAACCACUAAAAAGAAUGACAUGCAUAUGUAAUGUAAAAAUGAAUAUAAAAUGAAUGUAGUUACAUUGUGUCAUCCGGUAUUCGGGUCCAUAGUGGAAGCCGAACUUCAAUAAUGGAAAGCCAAAGUUGAAGCUUACUUCAAACGCUAUGGGGAAGAAGUGGGGUCACCAAAUAUUUGGUACAAAGGAAAGACUUGCAAUAACAUAGUACGGAAGUCAGUUUUCUGUUUGCUUCCAUCUGUACACGCUUCUACUUGAAUCCCUGUGCACGCGCUCUCCAACAAUUUAACGUCUCCGUUUGGAUCGUUUUGCCCCCAACACGUGUCGCUCUCAGCCGGCAUUCCUACCAUAGGCAGGUUCCUACCAUAAAGGUUUCCCAUCUAUCUGGCUCUCCCUCCUUUGACUCAGCAUCACUCAAACAGUCCAUCAAAUCAACAGCCAUCAGAAGCCAGCUGAGCUCCAAUGUAAGUAUUUCUUUUAUUAUUUUAAUUUGUGCGCGCGCGCGCGUGUGUGGUAUUUAAGUAGCUUUUUCUGCUCCAUGCAAGAUUUCUUCUCCUUUUCUCCGUUGGUAUCAUCAAUAUCUCCUCUGUCCUUUUUGUAACUCUACCAAUUUCAUAGGGAUAAUUGUCACUUUGGUGUCCGAUCACUUAGGGUACAAUUUACAAACCAUGGCUUUAGAAAACUAGCUUGGCCCAACAGUUAAACCCACAUCUCCUCUGCCUUCCAAUCUUACCAAGUGUAUAAUUGAUAAGGUGAAAAAUUGUUCGAUUUUGAUAAACUCAGAAGACCAAAUUCGUAAAAUUUGCCGAAAUUACUCUCCGUUGCACGAAUGACUAAGUUUGAAUUACUUGCCUUACAAUUGCACGCUUGUCUUCCACUAAUUAAAGACACAGUUAUUUCAUUUAUCUCACAUCUCUCCUGUCGCGCCCCAUUUUUUCGCGAUGGAAAAGAAAGUGUUUAUAAAGAAAGAUGUGAUUUAUUAAUAAUAAAUGAAAAAGGACCUAAAAUGGGACUUAAAAGAAUGCGACAAUUUAGGUCCCAAAAUUUAGUCUAAAAGGGUUUUUAAGAAAAAAUAGGAGUCGCCACUUGGUAUGGAGUUUUGGUGUACCAAGUCACCCAAAAAAUAUUUUUUGACAAAAAUAAAAUAAAUCAAAACCCUUUUUGACAACUCCAGGUCUUUGAAAACAAGAGAAAAUAGGUUCGGGAGUCACGGUUGAAGAAAGGGAAGGCAAAGGUUUAAUUGACUCAAACCUAAGGCACCCUUUCAACCUAGUCUAAGUUAGUUGCGAGGUUUAGUCAAAAUUUUCCUAAUCUAACC